AGUGAACGCUGGCGGUAGGCCUAACACAUGCAAGUCGAACGGCAGCACAGUAAGAGCUUGCUCUUACGGGUGGCGAGUGGCGGACGGGUGAGGAAUACAUCGGAAUCUACUUUUUCGUGGGGGAUAACGUAGGGAAACUUACGCUAAUACCGCAUACGACCUACGGGUGAAAGCAGGGGAUCUUCGGACCUUGCGCGAUUGAAUGAGCCGAUGUCGGAUUAGCUAGUUGGCGGGGUAAAGGCCCACCAAGGCGACGAUCCGUAGCUGGUCUGAGAGGAUGGUCAGCCACACUGGAACUUGGACACGGUCCAGACUCCUACGGGAGGCAGCAGUGGGGAAUAUUGGGCAAUGGGCGCAAGCCUGAUCCAGCCAUACCGCGUGGGUGAAGAAGGCCUUCGGGUUGUAAAGCCCUUUUGUUGGGAAAGAAAAGCAGCAGGUUAAUACCCCGCUGUUCUGACGGUACCCAAAGAAUAAGCACCGGCUAACUUCGUG
Molecule: ribosomal RNA, 492 nt
Filed under: uncultured bacterium
Lineage: Bacteria
Description: partial 16S ribosomal RNA
Rfam family: Bacterial small subunit ribosomal RNA
Source: RNAcentral